RNAcentral lists this unclassified non-coding RNA (248 nucleotides) under fungal sp. RNAcentral describes it as "partial internal transcribed spacer region". The stretch from base 1 to 46 matches the Rfam family "Eukaryotic small subunit ribosomal RNA", at positions 1786 to 1831 of the family's 1831-position model. Lineage: Eukaryota; Fungi. The record is from RNAcentral.
AAGUCGUAACAAGGUUUCCGUAGGUGAACCUGCGGAAGGAUCAUUACACAGUAGUUUUCUACUGCUUGAGGGAGCUGAAAGUUAUUUCAACGAGUAGGCUGCCUGUUUGUACCCUUGUCUUUUGCGUACCUAUUGUUUCCUCGGUGGGCUUGCCUGCCGGUUGGACAACUAUAAACUCUUUUUAGUUUCAAUCAGCGUCUAAAUCAACAUAAUAAUUACAACUUUCAACAACGGAUCUCUUGGUUCUG